Long non-coding RNA from Thalassophryne amazonica, 112 nucleotides. RefSeq lists it as uncharacterized. Lineage: Eukaryota; Metazoa; Chordata; Actinopteri; Batrachoidiformes; Batrachoididae. The record is from RefSeq and is a predicted model, not a curated record. The transcript is spliced from 2 exons.
ACCUUGACCUUUGACCUUGACCCUUUUGUGUGCUGAAAGGUAUCUCCAUAGGACUGAUAUAUGUGAACUUACAAGGGUCUCCAAUGAUGAUUUGCAUGCUUUUUCACACCCU